GGGCGUAGCUCAGUUGGUUAGAGCGCCAGAUUGUGGCCCUGGAGGUCGUGAGUUCGAUUCUCGUCGCC
RNAcentral lists this transfer RNA (68 nucleotides) under pig gut metagenome. It matches the Rfam family "tRNA". Rfam says of the family: Transfer RNA (tRNA) molecules are approximately 80 nucleotides in length. The record is from RNAcentral.